GCCCGAGUGGCGGAAUUGGCAGACGCAGCAGACUCAAAAUCUGCCGUUGGCAACAACGUGUGAGUUCGAGUCUCACCUCGGGCACCA
Molecule: transfer RNA, 87 nt
Filed under: Candidatus Limicola stercorigallinarum
Lineage: Bacteria; Bacillati; Actinomycetota; Coriobacteriia; Coriobacteriales; Coriobacteriaceae
Description: tRNA-Leu
Rfam family: tRNA
About the family: Transfer RNA (tRNA) molecules are approximately 80 nucleotides in length. Their secondary structure includes four short double-helical elements and three loops (D, anti-codon, and T loops). Further hydrogen bonds mediate the characteristic L-shaped molecular structure. tRNAs have two regions of fundamental functional importance: the anti-codon, which is responsible for specific mRNA codon recognition, and the 3' end, to which the tRNAs corresponding amino acid is attached (by aminoacyl-tRNA synthetases). tRNAs cope with the degeneracy of the genetic code in two manners: having more than one tRNA (with a specific anti-codon) for a particular amino acid; and 'wobble' base-pairing, i.e. permitting non-standard base-pairing at the 3rd anti-codon position.
Source: RNAcentral